Molecule: ribosomal RNA, 245 nt
Filed under: uncultured Prolixibacteraceae bacterium
Lineage: Bacteria; Pseudomonadati; Bacteroidota; Bacteroidia; Marinilabiliales; Prolixibacteraceae
Description: partial 16S ribosomal RNA
Rfam family: Bacterial small subunit ribosomal RNA
Source: RNAcentral
UACGGAGGAUGCAAGCGUUAUCCGGAUUCAUUGGGUUUAAAGGGUGCGUAGGCGGCUUUUUAAGUCAGUGGUGAAAUCCUGUCGCUUAACGAUAGAAUUGCCAUUGAUACUGAAGAGCUUGAGUUCAGUUGAGGUAAGCGGAAUGUGUAGUGUAGCGGUGAAAUGCUUAGAUAUUACACAGAACACCGAUUGCGAAGGCAGCUUACUAAACUGACACUGACGCUGAUGCACGAAAGCGUGGGGAG